Long non-coding RNA from Triticum dicoccoides, 1911 nucleotides. RefSeq lists it as uncharacterized. NCBI's taxonomy places the organism in Eukaryota, Viridiplantae, Streptophyta, Magnoliopsida, Poales, Poaceae. The transcript has 4 exons. The record is from RefSeq and is a predicted model, not a curated record.
CCUCAGAGUGGCGAGUUUUCUUGUGCCAAUGAAACUGGUUCUCAUAGAUCGUAAAGGAUGCUUCUAUUAUGUUUAUUUGGCUUCAACAUUACCUAUAGCAAGAUGCAUUUUUUCCGCUUGUUUUUUUUUCCUGCAAGACCUUAUUCCUUGCACUCUUGAGUCUUUUGAGAAGGAGAAAAUUAUUGUUGGGAGGGAAAAAGACUGAUCAUGAGUUCCUGAAACAGAGUGCAACAGUGAAGAACAAGAGGCUUUUUUGUUGAUGAGUCGGCCUAAAUAUAUUUUAGAUGAUUGCCAAAAAGUUGUUAUUGAAGGAUUGGAGUCAAGCUUAGGAUCAGUUUAUCCUAUGGGUCUGUACUACAAGGUUGAGUGCGUCAACCGACAACGCAGAAAUCAGGUUUAUAGACGAGUGCUUUAUGCCGGGGUGGACGAGCUUCCGUUAGGCCAUUGAUUUCCCAAUGAAGGAGCUUUGAGGCAAGCACUGCAAUGAUGUAUAUUUGUAUAUGGCAUAAUCUGUAGGAACCCUCUCCUUGUUUCCUUUUGUUCUUGGUUUUGCUCCAGUUGAUUACUGCCCUAUGAGAUCCGCACAGACAAAAUUCAUGUUGAUUUGUUUAGUUGUGGCAUGUAUCGCAGCUACACCAGUCUGAUAAUUUAGUCCUCAAAUAAGGUAGUUUCCGUCUCCCCUUUACAUGUGAUGGACAUACGUGCUUGUUGCUUGCCAUUGCUGAAGCGAGGCCUCUUAAGUGUACUUUUGUGUUCUCCCUGAUUAUGUUAAUCAGGUCGUAUGUGUUCUGUUGGUCUAUUUUCAUUUGUCUACCUCUACAGAAUUUCAAAGAUGUAAUUUUCUAUCAUGUAGUUGCCUCUUUCUUCAUAUACUAACCCUCUCCUAAAUGAUAGAUGAGGCAGGUGACUUAUCUCAUGUAUUUUCUUUUCUGUAAAUUACAACAAGUCUAUUUUAGUCAACUUAAGGGUAUGUUGAAUAUGACUGUUAAUGAAGAUAGUCAUUCUUGUUAUUGAAUGUGCACAAUCUGAUUCAUUUUAAAGUAGUUCCUUAUCUUUAUGACUAGACUAGGCUGCUACUUUAGCGAGUGUUUCACUUCAACACAGAUUGAUGCAAGAAAGAAAGAAUUCUUUUGCAAUAAAGCAAGCAUUGAGUGCCCAAAGCAGGAGAGCUUGAAUUUUUUGCCGACGUAAAUUUAAGGUAACCUUCUCCAUGCAUAUUUUUUUUCAACCAUUUGUAUCUAAAUAUCAGUAAUCAUUUUGAACUAUAUGCUCAGGCCGACCUUUUUAUUUGAUGUUAUUGGUGUGGUGUGUGUAUAAUUGUUAACUUGGUUGCGGUUUUAAUAAUAGGUCGUCACACAUUACAGAAAACUAUUUUCCAUUCUGUGUCUCUAUGCUCAUUUUGUGCCCGGGUGCAGCUGUGAAGGAACACUACAGGUAGAGAAGAAAGAAAGGAAGAAUGAUGGUUACUUUUCUUUAUAAAAUUUGGUUCAGGAUGCCGUUUUACCUGUUGUAAUACCUUCAGCAUAGAAGCAGUAGUGGUCUGCUCCUCCAAAGAUCUAUAGCUUGUGGAUGCGGCGGAUGUGGCACAGGGAGCAGAUGAAUUGGGAAUAAGAGGACCCCCGGCGCGCGCACAAAUUGUUUCUACCUGACGGCUGAUAGUGAGGAUGCCUCUGACCUGUCCCGAGAAGGUUCGAGCCGAAGUACGACUUGUACAACGCAUCACCAAUUCGUCCGACAGUGUAAAAUGCGUUUGUGUUAGCUGAGUGAAAAUUAGAGAUCAGCCUGGUGGUACUUUAUUAUUUUAUUCUAUAGCUUGAUCUGCCAAAUGCUAUUAAGGAAAUGAAGUUUCUUCCUCGAUCAAGUUAUCAAUCCUUAUUGGGUGUAUGCUUCCUACUCAACACCUGAAUAAUC